UGGUAGUGGUAGUGGUAGUGGUAGUGGCAGUAGUAGUGGUAGUGGCAGUGGCAGUGGCAGUGGCAGUGGUAGUGGCAGUGGUAGUGGUAGUGGUAGUGAAAGUGGUAGCGAAAGUGAUGACAAAAGUAAGAGUGGGAGUAGCAACAGUAGCAACAAAAAAAAAAAAAAAAGUAAAAAAAAAAAAAUGCCUAAACCAUACAUUGAAAAUAAUAUUUAUGAUAAAUUGAAAUAUAAAAAAGAAGAUUAUUAUUAUUUUAACAAAAGAGUAAACAAGUAUAUAUAUUGGAUAUCAAUCAACGGAAUUGGAACAUGGCAAAGGUUAAAAAACACAACACCUCAUUAUAUUAACAUAGCUAAUAGUAUUAAUAAAAUGUUUAUAGGAAAAUUAAAUCAACUAGUAACAUCAUAUCCUAAUAUUGCCAUAAAAGAAAAACAUUACCUUAGAGCUACCAUUUCAAUAAUUUCUUCACAUACUCAUAUAUCACCUGAACAGUAUUAUAUUUUCAAAAAAGAUAAAAAUAAACAUAAAAAAAGUAAAAAAAAUAAACAAAACAAAAAUGUUAAUUCAGAUGAAGAAGAUGAGUCUGAUAGCAAUUCGUCCAAUAGUGGUUCUUCCAAUAGUGGUUCUUCCAAUAGUGGUUCGUCUAAUAGUGGAAAUAAAAAAAAAGGAAAUAUGUCUCCAUACGAUGAUGACAUAAUAAAAAAUAAAUCUUUUGAAACUAAUCCAACAUCUUUGUUAAAUAUUGAAAAAUGGGUAUACCAUAAACACCAGUUUUUACCUAACGGACAUAUACAAUACCCCAUACAAAAAUCGAAAAAACAAACAAAAAUUAAAAAUUUUAUUAAUAAAAAUCCAGUGAUACAUAUUUUAACUAAUAUAAAAACAUAUAAAAAAAAUUAUUAUAAUACAUGGAGAAUAAAACAUUUAAACAAAAGCAAUGGUUAUAGUAUUAAUAAUCUAUAUUAUGAUUUAAUUAUUAUAUAUAAUUUUUUUUUUUACGGUUCUUUUACAAUUUAUUACAAUAAUAAUCAAUUUUUUAAUUUUUAUAUAGGACAUGGUUUACGAUCGAAGCAUGCAUUCAUACAUUUAUAUCAGCCAGCAAAAGUUUAUUCAGAUGUGAGUGAAUUAUCUGAAGAAGAAGAAGAAGAAACAAAAAAAAAUUGGAAACAAGUUAUUUACCUUUAAACUUUUGAAAUUAGGUUAAGACUUAUUUAACACACACUAUAACGAAAUGGUUUCAAAAAUAAAUUAUGUAAUUGUUUAAAGCGGGUUGAUUGG
This 1279-nucleotide long non-coding RNA is filed under the name Piliocolobus tephrosceles (Ugandan red Colobus). RNAcentral's name for it is "lncRNA (ENSPTEG00000006427.1)". The record is from RNAcentral. Lineage: Eukaryota; Metazoa; Chordata; Mammalia; Primates; Cercopithecidae.